GGUCUCCUGAAGAAAUGAAAUUCGGCUGCUGUUAUUCAGAAAGACAGCAUGGGGAAUGAAGGGCAAGGAACAGUCUCCUGCGACAGAGAAGUCUUCACCCGCCAUUGAGAGACCCUGGAUAGGACCAGUCACAUGAGCCGAUCUGACCACCAAGGCAUAGGGAGGUGUGGUCUUCCCAAGGGCCCAG
Molecule: long non-coding RNA, 187 nt
Filed under: Mustela putorius furo (domestic ferret)
Lineage: Eukaryota; Metazoa; Chordata; Mammalia; Carnivora; Mustelidae
Description: lncRNA (ENSMPUG00000026535.1)
Source: RNAcentral